AUGGUCCGCACGAUGACCGAAGGCAUCGUGAAUAGGUUUUUGAGCUCCGCGAAGGCCAAGAUGCUUCAAAAGAAUGAGACGGAGAUAAGAUGUCCGUGUCGAAGAUGCAAGCUGAAGAGCCUUAUGGACCCGGAUUCCGGACAGGUGCGGGACCACCUGCUCUUGCGUGGUUUCAUGGAUGGCUAUCGGUGGCAAGGUGAUGAAGAUGAUUAUGAAGUUGUCCAUGGGGCCGGGCAAGAAAUAAGGAAUGGCAGCAAGACAACCGCGGUGAGGGCGGGCGAGAAGACGAAGAAUCUCCAGGACAUGAUCACAAAGUAG
This 318-nucleotide ribosomal RNA is filed under the name Triticum aestivum (bread wheat). Its description in RNAcentral is "partial small subunit ribosomal RNA". The record is from RNAcentral. Lineage: Eukaryota; Viridiplantae; Streptophyta; Magnoliopsida; Poales; Poaceae.